ACGGGUGAGUAAUACAUAGGUAACCUGCCCCUGUGCGGGGGAUAACAGGAGGAAACUCCUGCUAAUACCGCAUAGCCAUGAGCACCGCAUGGAGCUCAUGCCAAAUAUCCUUUCGGGGAUAGCGCAGGGAUGGACCUAUGGCGCAUUAGCUGGUUGGCGGGGCAACGGCCCACCAAGGCAACGAUGCGUAGCCGGCCUGAGAGGGCGGACGGCCACAUUGGGACUGAGACACGGCCCAGACUCCUACGGGAGGCAGCAGUAGGGAAUUUUCGGCAAUGGGGGAAACCCUGACCGAGCAACGCCGCGUGAGCGAAGAAGGCCUUCGGGUCGUAAAGCUCUGUUGUAAAGGAAGAACGGCGCAUACAGGAAAUGGUAUGCGAGUGACGGUACUUUACCAGAAAGCCACGGCUAACUACGUGCCAGCAGCCGCGGUAAUACGUAGGUGGCGAGCGUUAUCCGGAAUCAUUGGGCGUAAAGAGGGAGCAGGCGGCCGCAAGGGUCUGUGGUGAAAGACCGAAGCUAAACUUCGGUAAGCCAUGGAAACCGGGCGGCUAGAGUGCGGAAGAGGAUCGUGGAAUUCCAUGUGUAGCGGUGAAAUGCGUAGAUAUAUGGAGGAACGCCAGUGGCGAAGGCGACGG
RNAcentral lists this ribosomal RNA (638 nucleotides) under uncultured bacterium. RNAcentral's name for it is "bacterial SSU rRNA". It matches the Rfam family "Bacterial small subunit ribosomal RNA", at positions 102 to 727 of the family's 1533-position model. The record is from RNAcentral.